CAAUAGCGUAUAUUAAAGCUGUUGCGGUUAAAAAGCUCGUAGUUGGAUUUCUGUCAAGUACAACUGGUCCGCCCUCCGGGUGAGCACAUAGUUUGGUCUUGGCAUCUUGCUGGAAAUUGUUGCUGCACUUGGCUGUGUGGCGCAGCGUCCAGCACUUUCACUUUGAGGAAAUUGGAGUGUUUCAAGCAGGCACAUGCCUUUGGACACAGUAGCAUGGAAUAAUUAGAUUGGGCUUUUGCUCCAAUUUGUCGGUUUCUGGAGCUGAGGUGAGAAUUAAUGGGGAUUGUUGGGGGCAUCCGAAUUUAGCCGUCAGAGGUGAAAUUCUUGGAUCUGCUAAAGACGGACAACUGCGAAAGCGUUUGCCCAGGAUGUUUUCAUUGA
This 381-nucleotide ribosomal RNA is filed under the name uncultured eukaryote. RNAcentral's name for it is "partial 18S ribosomal RNA". It matches the Rfam family "Eukaryotic small subunit ribosomal RNA", at positions 592 to 976 of the family's 1831-position model. The record is from RNAcentral.